GUAAGCAUAUCAAUAAGCGGAGGAAAAGAAACCAACAGGGAUUGCCCUAGUAACGGCGAGUGAAGCGGCAACAGCUCAAAUUUGAAAUCUGGCGCAAGCCCGAGUUGUAAUUUGUAGAGGAUGCUUCUGGGUAGCGACCGAUCUAAGUUCCUUGGAACAGGACGUCAUAGAGGGUGAGAAUCCCGUAUGUGACCGGCCCGCACCCUUUACGUAGCUCCUUCGACGAGUCGAGUUGUUUGGGAAUGCAGCUCUAAAUGGGAGGUAAAUUUCUUCUAAAGCUAAAUACCGGCCAGAGACCGAUAGCGCACAAGUAGAGUGAUCGAAAGAUGAAAAGUACUUUGGAAAGAGAGUUAAAAAGCACGUGAAAUUGUUGAAAGGGAAGCGCCUGCAACCAGACUUCGCGGCAGUGUUCCGCCGGUCUUCUGACCGGUUCAUUCUCUGUCGCGAGGCCAUCAUCGUCUGGGCCCGCCGGAUAAGACCUUAGGAAUGUAGCUCACCUUCGGGGGAGUGUUAUAGCCUAGGGUGAUGCGGCGAGGCUCGGGCGAGGUCCGCGCUUCGGCAAGGAUGAUGGCGUAAUGGUUGUCGGCGGCCCGUCUUGAAACACGGACCAAGGAGUCUAACAUCUAUGCGAGUGUUCGGGUGUCAAACCCCUACGCGUAAUGAAAGUGAACGGAGGUGGGAACCGCAAGGUGCACCAUCGACCGAUCCUGAUGUCCUCGGAUGGAUUUGAGUAAGAGCAUAGCUGUUGGGACCCGAAAGAUGGUGAACUAUGCCUGAAUAGGGUGAAGCCAGAGGAAACUCUGGUGGAGGCUCGCAGCGGUUCUGACGUGCAAAUCGAUCGUCAAAUUUGGGUAUAGGGGCGAAAGACUAAUCGAACCAUCUAGUAGCUGGUUCCUGCCGAAGU
This 904-nucleotide ribosomal RNA is filed under the name Septoria sigesbeckiae. Its description in RNAcentral is "LSU rRNA". It matches the Rfam family "Eukaryotic large subunit ribosomal RNA", at positions 34 to 967 of the family's 3401-position model. Lineage: Eukaryota; Fungi; Ascomycota; Dothideomycetes; Mycosphaerellales; Mycosphaerellaceae. The record is from RNAcentral.